RNAcentral lists this ribosomal RNA (433 nucleotides) under uncultured bacterium. Its description in RNAcentral is "partial 16S ribosomal RNA". It matches the Rfam family "Bacterial small subunit ribosomal RNA", at positions 29 to 507 of the family's 1533-position model. The record is from RNAcentral.
AACGAACGCUGGCGGCAUGCCUAACACAAGCAAGUCGAACGAGACCUUCGGGUCUAGUGGCGCACGGGUGCGUAACGCGUGGGAACCUGCCCUUAGGUUCGGAAUAACUCCCCGAAAGGGGUGCUAAUACCGGAUAAUGUCUUCGGACCAAAGAUUUAUCGCCUUUGGAUGGGCCCGCGUUGGAUUAGCUAGUUGGUAGGGUAAAAGCCUACCAAGGCGACGAUCCAUAGCUGGUCUGAGAGGAUGAUCAGCCACACUGGGACUGAGACACGGCCCAGACUCCUACGGGAGGCAGCAGUGGGGAAUAUUGGACAAUGGGCGAAAGCCUGAUCCAGCAAUGCCGCGUGAGUGAUGAAGGCCUUAGGGUUGUAAAGCUCUUUUAACCGGGAUGAUAAUGACAGUACCGGGAGAAUAAGCUCCGGCUAACUCCGUG